This 374-nucleotide ribosomal RNA is filed under the name uncultured organism. RNAcentral's name for it is "partial 16S ribosomal RNA". It matches the Rfam family "Bacterial small subunit ribosomal RNA", at positions 528 to 896 of the family's 1533-position model. The record is from RNAcentral.
GGGGGGGCAAGCGUUGUUCGGAAUUACUGGGCGUAAAGGGCGCGCAGGCGGGCGGGAAAGUCUCUCGUGAAAGCCCACGGCUCAACCGUGGAAUUGCGGGAGAUACUACUCGUCUUGAGUUCGGGAGAGGAGUGUGGAAUUCCCAGUGUAGCGGUGAAAUGCGUAGAUAUUGGGAGGAACACCGGUGGCGAAGGCGGCACUCUGGACCGGUACUGACGCUGAGGCGCGAAAGCUAGGGGAGCAAACGGGAUUAGAUACCCCGGGUAGUCCUAGCUGUAAACGCUGAGCACUUGGUGUAGCGGGUAUCGACCCCCCUGCUGUGCCGAAGCUAACGCAUUAAGUGCUCCGCCUGGGGGAGUACGGUCGCAAGGCUG